GAUGAACGCUGGCGGCGUGCCUAACACAUGCAAGUCGAGCGAGAAAUUUUAAAGCGAAACUUCGGUCUAGCGAUAAAAUGGAAAGCGGCGGACGGGUGAGUAACGCGUAGGCAACCUGCCCCUUACAGAGGGAUAGCCUCGGGAAACCGGGAUUAAAACCUCAUAACGCAUUUUAAACACAUGUUUGAGAUGCCAAAGAUUUAUCGGUAAGGGAUGGGCCUGCGUCUGAUUAGCUAGUUGGUAAGGUAACGGCUUACCAAGGCAACGAUCAGUAGCCGACAUGAGAGGGUAAUCGGCAACAUUGGAACUGAGACACGGUCCAAACUCCUACGGGAGGCAGCAGUGGGGAAUAUUGCACAAUGGGCGAAAGCCUGAUGCAGAAACGCCGCGUGAGCGAAGAAGGCCUUUGGGUCGUAAAGCUCUGUCGGAAGGGAAGAAACAAAUGACGGUACCUUCUGAGGAAGCCCCGGCUAACUACGUGCCAGCAGCCGCCGUAA
This 497-nucleotide ribosomal RNA is filed under the name uncultured bacterium. Its description in RNAcentral is "partial 16S ribosomal RNA". It matches the Rfam family "Bacterial small subunit ribosomal RNA", at positions 28 to 523 of the family's 1533-position model. The record is from RNAcentral.